UAGCGCACUCUUUUAGAGUGAGCGGCAAACGGGUGAGUAACGCGUGGGAAUCUACCCAUCUCUACGGAAUAACACAGAGAAAUUUGUGCUAAUACCGUAUACGUCCUUUUUGGAGAAAGAUUUAUCGGAGAUGGAUGAGCCCGCGUUGGAUUAGCUAGUUGGUGAGGUAAAGGCUCACCAAGGCGACGAUCCAUAGCUGGUCUGAGAGGAUGAUCAGCCACACUGGGACUGAGACACGGCCCAGACUCCUACGGGAGGCAGCAGUGGGGAAUAUUGGACAAUGGGGGCAACCCUGAUCCAGCCAUG
Molecule: ribosomal RNA, 306 nt
Filed under: Bartonella sp.
Lineage: Bacteria; Pseudomonadati; Pseudomonadota; Alphaproteobacteria; Hyphomicrobiales; Bartonellaceae
Description: bacterial SSU rRNA
Rfam family: Bacterial small subunit ribosomal RNA
Source: RNAcentral